AUGCGUUUUCCCGUCCAAUUCAAUAACUUAAGGAAAACUUGAAGAUUAAAAAAGUGCUAUUCACGGUUAAUCUGAAGUGUUGAAAUUCACAAUUUAUUGAAAGAACAACUGAAAAUCAAUUUAGGUUGCAUAUGUGUCAUGUGUGGAGAAGAACCCUCUAGCUAGUCUGUCACCUAUUCUUUCAUCUUAAUUUCAUAUUUUUGUCAAUUCUGUAAUUUAAUUAAGUUUAAUUUACUUUUCAUCAAAACCAAACACCCAUCCAUUAUUAAAUUAUAUUAUUUAGUUAGUUUUCUUUAUUGUUAGUCUUUUAAUUUAAUUUCCGUCCAUUUCAGUUCCUAGUGUUUAAUUUAAUUGUUUUCAUUAUUUUGAGUCAUUUUAAGUGUGUUUCGAAUUAUUAGAGUUUUUAGCCUAGUUUUGUGUCCUUGAGUCUUAUUUAAUAUUUUUUAAAUUAAUUUAGAAUAGAUUAGCAAUCCCUCCUAAUCCCCGGCCUAGAACGAUACCCUACUUACAUCUAUACUACAAUUGUCAAAAAGAGGGUUUAAUUUGUGUGUCAAGUAAUUUUACGCACCAAAUUUUGGCGCUGUUGCCGGGGAUUAGCAACUUUGCUAAUCCUUUUAUUUUUGUUUUUGUUUAUGUUUAUAUUGGUGUUUGUGUAUUUUACUUUUGAUAUUUGAUUUAUUUUUCUUUCUUUGAUUUUAGGUUCAAAUGGAGCCGAGGGAAAUUUAAAGGAAAGAUGCGUCCGGCUAAAGACGUUAAAUCAAGCGCUUCUUGGGAGGCAACCCAAGCAUUCAACGAAGGGAGACUUUGGAAUCGCUAACCCAAUCAGCUUUGCAUUCUUCCAACCUUAUCUUUACUGCUUUCAUUUUGUUUUGUUUAGUUAGUUGUGUUAUUUGGUUGAUUUCUGUGAGUUUGUGUUAUUUAGUUUAAGUGUGGGGGAAGAUUAACCAAAGUCUCUUUACAUUAAUUUACAUUUAAAAAGAAAAAAAAAAAAAGAUAAAAUUUAAAAUUAAUGAUAAAAAAAAAAUACAUAAAAAAAAAAAAAAAAAAAAAUUUUAAAAAAUUAAAAAAAAAAAUUAAAAAAAAAAAAAAAAAAAAAAAAAAAGUACAAAUAUUUUACAAUAAUGUAAACUAAUAGUAUUCAUUGGUCGGGUGGUGCUUCGGUAGUAGGCGGGGCUUCAGCAGUCGGCGGGGCCACAGAAGGAGGAGGCAGCAGAGGUUGAUCAGUUGGAGCUUCACUACGCGGUGCCGCUCCAGAAGACGAAGGCAGAUGCGGUUGGAACAAACCCACAAACCUCCGAUGAUCAAGUAAAAUUUGACCAUCGGUGUCCUGCAUCUGGUCAAUCUUUCUCUUCAUGCUGGUGGCAUAAUUGUGUGCAAGCUUGUGCAAUUGUUUAUUUUCAUGCUUGAGUCCUCUAAUCUCCUCUUUGAGACUCUGUAUUUCAGCCACCAACGAUUCACAUGACGGGUUCGGGCAAAUAGGCGUUGGGCCAUGUUGGACACGGAACCGGCACACUGCACGCUAAGAGCCAGAGACUCCUUAACCGCCAAUUCAUCAGACCGCCUAGCGAGCAGUCUGUUAUCUCUAGGGGUGACAAGGUUCCGGGCCACCACCGCAGCAGUCAUGUCAUUUUUCAUCAUCGAAUCCCCCACGGUAAGGGGACCGGUAGGGGAUAUGAAGGAUGGCCGCCAUAUGUUGUCUGGUGAAGGCGGAGCUGCCUCUUCACCAAUGUUCAAGUCAAAACGACGAUCAGAAGGGCCAGACAUUUUUCAGAGGUGGUGUUGAGAAAGAAGAGAUCGGACAGGUUAAGAUUUCGGAAGUGCAAGAAGGGAGUGUUUACUGGAGGGAUAAGUGUGUUGUGGAGCAAGAUUAACGCCUCUAUAAAAAGGAAGAAAUCAAAGAGGCGCUCCUCAGAAAUCGAUGAAGCGUCCUCUCGCAAAUCGAAGAGGCGGGGCUCCUUUCUCAAAAGCCGGAUUCUUUUCUCAAAAGAGGCGUUUCAUUUCUUAAAGGCUGGGCUUUGCUCAGAAACCACGAGCCGAAACCCCGGAUUUCAAAAGAUCAAUUUGUCCAGACGUGUCGUCACUUGUCACACGCAAAUUGCUUUGCGAAAUUCUCGGGCAGUUUGUCGAAGCACCAAUUCAGAAAUCGAAGAGGGAAAUUCAACAGUCAAAGACACGCUAGCUUUCUCAAAAGCUGGGCUUCAACCCACGGGCAAAUCUUCUUUUCCAGAUUUAUCCGCACGUGUCACAUGCUACCUCUACAAUCGACGAUGCUCAGAGCUCGAAGCGCCGAUUCCAGAUACCAAUGAGGAAUCUGCUUUGCGGAAAUUACGGGCAGCUUUGUCAGAAAGCGCGUAAUUUGUACUAUUCAUCCAUCCACCGGCUGCCGACAAUGAGUGAGAGAAUAGUUCCGGUUGUGAAGACAAGUCCUAUAAGUUUCUACCUUCGCCUUCCACAGCAAAAGCACACUCUCUCAGCACACCCUCUCAACACUUCUUCAUCUCCGAAAAUGCAUUCCCAAAGAAUCCUCCUAAGUUACUCUGUGUUCCUCAUUCCCUGGGAUACCCUGCAAACAACCCAUCCAGGAGCAAAAGUAUUUCAUAUCAUAAUGGUUGAAAGCAAGAGUAUCUCAUAUCAUGCUUUCUCCCUGUCCUUUCUCCAGCCAGCACCUGCUCUCGAGUACUCAUCAUCUUGUGCUUUCGCUUUGUUUCUCACUUAUAAGGGAAGUGAAGAUGAUACCUCGAAGCAUGUGGAGACAACGUGCUGAUUCAUCCUCAACUAAGGACAAGGAGAAAGAGAGCAAGAGGUGGGCACUUGGAAAGAUUGAAGAAAGAAACAGACCAACACCUCUCCCUCGUGCCUGCCCGUUGUGCAGAAGAAACAAGCAGAGAAGAAUGCAGCUUGCACAAUCAUCCCAGCGGAAGGAGUCCGAGCUGAGGAACUAGAGAAGCUGCCACAUCUGCUUGGAGAACAAAUAAGGAACUGCAACAUUCCCAAAGAGCAAAGCCUCGCCGUACAAUAUCAUCAAAUCAUCACUUGCAAGUGAAAAGCUAAGUGUCACCCUGUUCAAGAGGAAAGCUGUGGAAAGUCAACAAGCACGACCAAUGAUUACUUAUUAGUUUUAUUCAUUAUCUUUUAUCGUAAUUUUCAAUUUUUCGUUUGCAAUUUUUUUUUUAAUUAAUUUUCUUGCGUACUUAACUGAAUUUUUCCUUUUCUUUGCAGGAACUUUUGGUUAUUUCCACCCUUGAAGUUGAUUGCAGAAUUUUAGCUUGGGGGUCAUCGCUUGAUUUUACUGCAAAUUAGGGAAGUUUUCAGUCCAAUUGUUUUAUUUUGUUUCUUAUUAUUUAUUUAUUUUAUUUUAUUUUUAUUUGCAUUAUAGUGUUUUCUGACAUUGGGGACAAUGUCAAGUUUAAGUGUGGGGGUAGAAAUCUCUAGAAUUUCAUUUUGUUUCUGUGUUGUUUAGUUUUUGUUUUCUUAAAAAAAAAAAAAAAAAAAAAAAAAAAAUCGGAAAAUUUAAAAAAAAUCCAAAAAUAUUGUCUUGUUUCCCUUAUUGUUUUGAAUUAGAUUUUUGUUAGUUUCCCGACCCAAUGAUAUAAUUGGAUAAAAUUUGAACCAUGAUCAUCAAGAACUUAGUUAACAUGUGUUUUGUGAAAUUCCUAAUUCUCUUGUUAGUUUUGUACAUGUUUGAUCAUCUUUGAAAAACCAAAUGCACAUAGCCUUGUUAAUGUGAAACUAAAGUAUGACUUAAAGCUUCAUAUGUGAAUUUAGUGACCAUAUACAUCCUAUGUGAGUUUUUGAGCCGAUUGAAAGUGUGUGCAUUUUUCAUUCACUCCUAUUCUUUCAUGUGUGAUGAACUUAUGUGAGAUACAUCUCUAGAACUUGCGUAACGAUCUUUCGAAAUGUUUGUCAUUGAUUGCAUGAACUUGGAAAUGAUAGAGGCAUUAGGUUUACCACUAUGGCCCAAAUAACCAUGUUUCCCAAAUAAAAAUGAUAUCAUUAGAUUGCCAAUUUGAGCCGUGUAUGUUGAGCCUUUUAUUUCUUAUCACCAGAUAUGUCUACCCUUAUACCUGAAACAUUUUUUCCUUACCCUUUCCAAGCGAGCAAUGCGAGAUUGUCUUAUGAGAAACGUUUGUGAAGUACUUUGAAGGUGUUUGGCAAAAGAAUAAGUGUGGGGGUAUUUCAUGUUUGUAUUAAAAAAAAAAAAAAAAAAAAAAAAAAAAAAAAAAGAGAAAGAAAAAGAAAAAGAAAGAUUGUAUACGAAAAAAUAAAUAAAUAAAAAUAAAAAUUUUUUUUAAAAGUUUCAGUUUAAGGUUGUGGUUGGAGGUGCUAGAAGAAUCGCUGGAGAGCUUGAGUUCUUAUAAAUCUAAAGAAAAGAAUUGCUUGCAAUGUAGCUUGGAACUUGUGUUUUCCUAUUCUUUCGUUUCAAUAACCCUAUCCCUAAACCUCAUUACAUCCAAUAAAAGUCCUCUUGAUUUAAGUUUUGCAAUUAUGACUGUGGAGAAGUGAUCUUUAUGCAAGCUUUAUGGUAGAAAUUUCACAUUUGAUUUCUUUUGAGCGAAACACAUUAAAACUAAACACAUGUGUGAUUGAGUGCAUAUCCCGUGAGAAGGUCGCUAGUUUGCAUAUGAUGAUUUUAAAAAUAAGAACUUGAAAUUACAUUAGCAUGGCUAUCUCACACACACUACACUUCAAGGAUGAUUCAAAGAUUACUGCUAAUAUUUGAAUAAGGAAGAUGAACUUGGAUUAGUUCCUUGAUGCUAGCUAUGGUUCUUGAUGAUUUGUUUUCUUAAAAUGAAAUUCUAUGAGGGUCACAUAGGGGGAAGCUAAUGUUUUUCUUGUUACUUCGUGUUCUUGUUUUCUUUGUUUUGCUCGAGGACUAGCAAAAGUUAAGUGUGGGGGUAUUUGAUCGGAUCAUAUUUAUAUAUAUUUUUACUUCGAAUUCACUCGUCUUUUCUUAGUUAGUUCCUUAUAUUUUUGAGCUAUUUACGUUAUUUUUGUGUUUAUAGGAUUUGUUAUGCAAAGAAAAUAAAAAUAGAACAAGUGAAAUUUUAUGUAAUAAAUUCGUCAAAAGCAAAUUUAAAUUACAAUAUUGCCAACCCAUUGUGACGCUAAAUGAUAAACCAAUAUUUAAACUAUAUAUUUCAUCCUUUUAUAUUUCUUUUCUUGUCUUGUCUAAUUUAGUUAAAGCUUUAAGUAUUUAUGAUACUUUUAAUUUAUUGUGUUUGGAGGAGAAGAAAGUGGAAAGCACUGAGAAAUUAAAUAGAAGAAGUGGAGAGACAGCGUGAAGCAAUAGAGAAAAGCAGAAAAGCGUGAAAGGGAUCCAAGAGGGAGAGCUGCUUGGCAGCUGGACGCGGAGAAGGAAUCCAAGGAGUCAAAAGCAGAGAACAAGAGGUCAGAAAAGAAUAAAAGAAGGAGAAGUAGAUUGGUGCAAAAGGGGGGUCUGGGAGCGGGAGAAGGGAGCUGCCCUUUGGGCAGCUCGCAGAAGGACGAAGAAAAGAGAAUAGGGGAGAGAUAGGAGGGACGUCAGCGAGACAGUCAGAGGAAGGAACGGGGCGCAAAGGGUCAGGAGGAAAUGUGAGGUACGGGCUGCCCUUGGCAGCUGGGACUGACGCAAGGCAGGAAGGCGCUGCCUUUGGCACUGAGCAAGGGCAGCGUGGGCAGAAGCAGCAUGCACUCUCCUUCUCUUUUCGGUUAAAUCUCUCUAAACUUCUAUUUUGUUUCUAUUUUUAAUAAUGUGUAAUUAAAUUUAUGUUGGCUAGAGGUUAAUUCAAAGCCAUGAUUUAUAUUUGUAAUAUGAAUUGAUUACCUUCGGUUGUGAUUUCAUAAGUUGUGAUUUCAAUUUACUUAUCUGUUCGUAUAAAAACUGAUUUGUGUAUGUUGGUUGAGAGUGCACGCUUAAUUUACAUGCAUGAAUUUGAUGCUAGAAUAUAAGUGAAUUUCACCUAAUCGUUAUGAACUUAUUUUCACAAGUAGUAAAGGUUGCUAGUCACAAUCACGUUAAGUAAAUUCUUGGCAAGAGUAUCAUGCUUUUCAUAGUUACGAAUGCCUCGUCAAUGCUUAUAGUUUUUCACAAAGUUUAAUGAUCUUUGAUUGUAUCUCUAUUGUGCUUUUCACGUAGGGGACUUUUGAAGAAUGUUUUGAAUUGUUGUAUGCGUUUUCCCGUCCAAUUCAAUAACUUAAGGAAAACUUGAAGAUUAAAAAAGUGCUGUUCACGGUUAAUCUGAAGUGUUGAAAUUGAAAUUCACAAUUUAUUGAAAGAACAACUGAAAAUCAAUUUAGGUUGCAUAUGUGUCAUGUGUGGAGAAGAACCCUCUAGCUAGUCCGUCAUUUAUCAUUUUCACCUUAAUUUCAUAUUUUUGUCAAUUCUGUAAUUUAAUUAAGUUUAAUUUACUUUUCAUCAAAACCAAACACCCAUCCAUUAUUAAAU
This 6424-nucleotide long non-coding RNA is filed under the name Malus domestica (apple). Its description in RNAcentral is "long non-coding RNA (MDOM_LNC015266)". Lineage: Eukaryota; Viridiplantae; Streptophyta; Magnoliopsida; Rosales; Rosaceae. The record is from RNAcentral.